This 509-nucleotide ribosomal RNA is filed under the name uncultured bacterium. Its description in RNAcentral is "bacterial SSU rRNA". It matches the Rfam family "Bacterial small subunit ribosomal RNA", at positions 30 to 526 of the family's 1533-position model. The record is from RNAcentral.
AUUGAACGCUGGCGGCACGCUUUACACAUGCAAGUCGAACGGCAGCAUGAUCAAGCUUGCUUGAUUGAUGGCGAGUGGCGAACGGGUGAGUAAUACAUCGGAACGUGCCCUGUAGUGGGGGAUAACCUACCGAAAGGUAGGCUAAUACCGCAUACGACCUGAGGGUAAAAGUGGGGGACCGCAAGGCCUCACGCUAUAGGAGCGGCCGAUGGAAGAUUAGCUAGUUGGUGAGGUAAGGGCUCACCAAGGAGACGAUCUUUAGCGGGUCUGAGAGGACGAUCCGCCACACUGGGACUGAGACACGGCCCAGACUCCUACGGGAGGCAGCAGUGGGGAAUUUUGGACAAUGGGGGCAACCCUGAUCCAGCAAUGCCGCGUGAGUGAAGAAGGCCUUCGGGUUGUAAAGCUCUUUUGUUUGGGAAGAAAAGUCUGGUGCUAAUACCACUGGAUGCUGACGGUACCAAAAGAAUAAGCACCGGCUAACUACGUGCCAGCCGCCGCGGUAACAC